AUUGAACGCUGGCGGCAGGCUUAACACAUGCAAGUCGAGCGGAGUGAUGGUGCUUGCACCAUCACUUAGCGGCGGACGGGUGAGUAAUGCUUAGGAAUCUGCCUAUUAGUGGGGGACAACAUCUCGAAAGGGAUGCUAAUACCGCAUACGCCCUACGGGAGAAAGCAGGGGAUCACUGGUGCUCUCGCGCUAAUAGAUGAGCCUAAGUCGGAUUAGCUAGUUGGUGGGGUAAAGGCCUACCAAGGCGACGAUCUGUAGCGGGUCUGAGAGGAUGAUCCGCCACACUGGGACUGAGACACGGCCCAGACUCCUACGGGAGGCAGCAGUGGGGAAUAUUGGACAAUGGGGGGAACCCUGAUCCAGCCAUGCCGCGUGUGUGAAGAAGGCCUUAUGGUUGUAAAGCACUUUAAGCGAGGAGGAGGCUCUUUUGGUUAAUACCCAAGAUGAGUGGACGUUACUCGCAGAAUAAGCACCGGCUAACUCUGUGCCAGCAGCCGCGGUAA
This 503-nucleotide ribosomal RNA is filed under the name uncultured bacterium. RNAcentral's name for it is "partial 16S ribosomal RNA". It matches the Rfam family "Bacterial small subunit ribosomal RNA", at positions 30 to 523 of the family's 1533-position model. The record is from RNAcentral.